Long non-coding RNA from Mesocricetus auratus (golden hamster), 1322 nucleotides. RefSeq lists it as uncharacterized. The transcript is spliced from 4 exons. The record is from RefSeq and is a predicted model, not a curated record. NCBI's taxonomy places the organism in Eukaryota, Metazoa, Chordata, Mammalia, Rodentia, Cricetidae.
GUUAGACAGAGCAUGACUAAUUUAAUCCCUUCUGUGAGAAGGCAGACUUAGAAGGCAGACUUCCUCCCUUCCUUGUUAGCUUCCCCCUCCCUCUUAUCAUUCCAGGAUCGAGGGCCCCAUGCACACAAGGACACUGCUCUACCGCUGAGCCACAUCCAGCCCGAAGACUUGGCUGAUUUCCAGGGUUCUGGAUUCCAGGGGUUUGCUUUGUUGUCUUAGUGAUUGGUCGGGAUAUCGUAAGAUUCUGGAACCCACUGUGGAGUGGAAACUUUCAAUGCCAAAGGAGAGGAGGACACCUUCCGGCCCCUGCCAUGUCCUCUCCCCACUCUGUUCUCUCCUGAGCAGAAGCCGCCCUGCAGCAGGCUGUUGGGACCCACUCCAAGCACUCACCUGGGACUUUGUUCCACAGCAUCAGGCUCUGGGUUUCUUUGGUUUAGCACAUGCUGUCCACAAACAGGCCUGGCGAGCCCAGUUGCCCAGCGCAUUGGGCAUGUGUGGGAUGGACGUAGCCUCUGCUGGGCUUCCAGAAAACUCACCCAAGGAGCAAAAGCUUCUCCUUAUACCCAUGAAGUUACCAAAAGCAAAUAUUUGGAGAGGCGCCUUAUCCGAAAUUCACCUGUCUUUGAACCCUGUUGAGCCAAAAUGGAUGGAUACCAGGUUCUGACGGGGGUGUUGAGUCUGAGGGGGAGAAGACACUGGAAGGACGUGGUGGCAGUGUGGAAGUUGGGCCACGUCUCACAACUCUGCUGUUACUGGAAGAGGUGACCACCCCUAUCUCAUCACCAAGGAUCUGUGUUUCAUGUUGGUGGGGACUAAUGGCCUUUGGAGACAAAAGGAAGGAGGAAGGCAUGUUACCUGAUUGGAACAAGAGCUCAUAUGAGCAGCAGCUGCCGCCUGUCACUGCUAACACUCCAUACCUCCUGGACCAUGGGGAUAAUCCUGUCACCUCCUGGACCGUGGGAUAUGCUGUCACCUCCUGGACCGUGGGAUACUGCUGUCACCUCCUGGGCCAUGGGGCACUGCUGUCACCUCUUGGACCGUGGGAUACUGCUGUCACCUCCUGGACCAUGGGAUACCGCUGUCACCUCCUGGGCCAUGGGGCAUUGCUGUCACCUCCACCACGCCAUACCUCUGGCUAUGGGGUACUUCUGAGAAAAGCUGCUGUGUCCAAGACAGUGCCAUCAUCUCUCCCCCCUUUUAGAACUGGCAGCUCUCUUCAGAUGCCUUCAGAACAACAAACACUAACGUUACCUGAGGAAAAACUGACCUCUAAUUUAAAAAGAAAAAAUUAAAUUUUCAUUGCCCUGCGUGGUUUUAUUUUA